This 61-nucleotide transfer RNA is filed under the name Nacolus tuberculatus. RNAcentral's name for it is "tRNA-Ala". Lineage: Eukaryota; Metazoa; Arthropoda; Insecta; Hemiptera; Cicadellidae. The record is from RNAcentral.
UGAACUAUAGUUAAAUAUAACAUUUAAAUUGCAAAUAAAAAGUGCUAGAAAGCUAGUUUAA